Molecule: ribosomal RNA, 675 nt
Filed under: uncultured Bacteroidota bacterium
Lineage: Bacteria; Pseudomonadati; Bacteroidota
Description: bacterial SSU rRNA
Rfam family: Bacterial small subunit ribosomal RNA
Source: RNAcentral
GGAUCCAGACUUUGAUCAUGGCUCAGGAUGAACGCUAGCUACAGGCUUAACACAUGCAAGUCGAGGGGAAACGACAUCGAAAGCUUGCUUUUGAUGGGCGUCGACCGGCGCACGGGUGAGUAACGCGUAUCCAACCUGCCCACCACUUGGGGAUAACCUUGCGAAAGUAAGACUAAUACCCAAUGACGUCUCUAGAAGACAUCUGAAAGAGAUUAAAGAUUUAUCGGUGAUGGAUGGGGAUGCGUCUGAUUAGCUUGUUGGCGGGGUAACGGCCCACCAAGGCAACGAUCAGUAGGGGUUCUGAGAGGAAGGUCCCCCACAUUGGAACUGAGACACGGUCCAAACCCCUACGGGAGGCAGCAGUGAGGAAUAUUGGUCAAUGGACGAGAGUCUGAACCAGCCAAGUAGCGUGCAGGAUGACGGCCCUAUGGGUUGUAAACUGCUUUUAUAAGGGAAUAAAGUGAGUCUCGUGAGACUUUUUGCAUGUACCUUAUGAAUAAGGACCGGCUAAUUCCGUGCCAGCAGCCGCGGUAAUACGGAAGGUCCGGGCGUUAUCCGGAUUUAUUGGGUUUAAAGGGAGCGUAGGCCGGAGAUUAAGCGUGUUGUGAAAUGUAGACGCUCAACGUCUGCACUGCAGCGCGAACUGGUUUCCUUGAGUACGCACAAAGUGGGCGG